Molecule: ribosomal RNA, 393 nt
Filed under: uncultured bacterium
Lineage: Bacteria
Description: partial 16S ribosomal RNA
Rfam family: Bacterial small subunit ribosomal RNA
Source: RNAcentral
AUACGGAGGAUCCGAGCGUUAUCCGGAUUUAUUGGGUUUAAAGGGUGCGCAGGCGGGGGAUUAAGUCGGCGGUGAAAUUUUGCCGCUCAACUGUAAAAGGGCCUUCGGAACUGGUUUCCUUUAGGGUAGAUGAAGUAGGCGGGAUUUGUGGUGUAGCGGUGAAAUGCAUAGAUAUCACGAGGAACUCCGAUUUCGCAGGCAGCUUACUAAACUACUACUGACGCUCAGGCACGAAGGCGUGGGGAUCAAACAGGAUUAGAUACCCUGGUAGUCCACGCAGUAAACGAUGAUUACUAGCUGUUUGCGAUACAAUGUAAGCGGCUGAGCGAAAGCGUUAAGUAACCCACCUGGGGAGUACGUUCGCAAGAAUGAAACUCAAAGGAAUUGACGGGG